This 57-nucleotide transfer RNA is filed under the name Aedes aegypti (yellow fever mosquito). It matches the Rfam family "tRNA", at positions 8 to 63 of the family's 71-position model. Rfam says of the family: Transfer RNA (tRNA) molecules are approximately 80 nucleotides in length. Their secondary structure includes four short double-helical elements and three loops (D, anti-codon, and T loops). Further hydrogen bonds mediate the characteristic L-shaped molecular structure. tRNAs have two regions of fundamental functional importance: the anti-codon, which is responsible for specific mRNA codon recognition, and the 3' end, to which the tRNAs corresponding amino acid is attached (by aminoacyl-tRNA synthetases). tRNAs cope with the degeneracy of the genetic code in two manners: having more than one tRNA (with a specific anti-codon) for a particular amino acid; and 'wobble' base-pairing, i.e. permitting non-standard base-pairing at the 3rd anti-codon position. Lineage: Eukaryota; Metazoa; Arthropoda; Insecta; Diptera; Culicidae. The record is from Rfam by way of RNAcentral.
UAGCUUAGUUGGCUAAGCACGUGUCUUGCAUACAUGGGUCGUGGGUUCGAAUCCCAC